UGCUGGAGGUAUCAGAAGUGCGAAUGCUGACAUAAGUAACGAUAAAGCGGGUGAAAAGCCCGCUCGCCGGAAGACCAAGGGUUCCUGUCCAACGUUAAUCGGGGCAGGGUGAGUCGACCCCUAAGGCGAGGCCGAAAGGCGUAGUCGAUGGGAAACGGGUUAAUAUUCCCGUACUUGGUGUUACUGCGAAGGGGGGACGGAGAAGGCUAUGUUGGCCGGGCGACGGUUGUCCCGGUUUAAGCGUGUA
Molecule: ribosomal RNA, 247 nt
Filed under: Salmonella enterica subsp. enterica serovar Kentucky
Lineage: Bacteria; Pseudomonadati; Pseudomonadota; Gammaproteobacteria; Enterobacterales; Enterobacteriaceae
Description: partial 23S ribosomal RNA
Rfam family: Bacterial large subunit ribosomal RNA
Source: RNAcentral